This 89-nucleotide transfer RNA is filed under the name Bacteroidales bacterium. RNAcentral describes it as "tRNA-Ser". It matches the Rfam family "tRNA". From Rfam's summary of the family: Transfer RNA (tRNA) molecules are approximately 80 nucleotides in length. Their secondary structure includes four short double-helical elements and three loops (D, anti-codon, and T loops). The record is from RNAcentral. Lineage: Bacteria; Pseudomonadati; Bacteroidota; Bacteroidia; Bacteroidales. RNAcentral also lists the same sequence under 1 other name.
GGAGAGAUGGCAGAGCGGUCGAAUGCGGCGGUCUCGAAAACCGUUGUCCCGAUAUCUCGGGACCGGGGGUUCGAAUCCCCCUCUCUCCG